This 25-nucleotide non-coding RNA is filed under the name Mus musculus (house mouse). The record is from RNAcentral. Lineage: Eukaryota; Metazoa; Chordata; Mammalia; Rodentia; Muridae.
UGAUGACAUCGGUGGUUGCAGGAAG